CUAAGAUCCAUAUUUGGUUCGAAUGUAUCUAGUAAAUUUUUGACUUCAUUGCAUCUAACCAUUUCUUAGAAUCAAUGUCAGGCAUUGUGUCGUCAAAAAUUUUAAGAUCAUCACCAUGACCCUUAUCUCCUAUAAGAAAUAUUUUUUUACUUCCUCCAUAAGCAUACCCAUGUACCUUCAGGAGGUCAGAAAACCCUGC
Molecule: long non-coding RNA, 199 nt
Filed under: Elaeis guineensis (African oil palm)
Lineage: Eukaryota; Viridiplantae; Streptophyta; Magnoliopsida; Arecales; Arecaceae
Description: long non-coding RNA (EGUI_LNC056355)
Source: RNAcentral